RNAcentral lists this long non-coding RNA (266 nucleotides) under Lathyrus oleraceus (garden pea). RNAcentral describes it as "Pisum sativum (pea) long non-coding RNA (PSAT_LNC018320)". The record is from RNAcentral. Lineage: Eukaryota; Viridiplantae; Streptophyta; Magnoliopsida; Fabales; Fabaceae.
CUAUCCUUCUUUUCUUUUCUCAUUCAUCUUUUUUUUUUGAAGAAGUGUCUUUUUCCACUUCUUUUUCAUAAUAUUUUUUUUUGAAAUUUUGGAUAAGAGAGUUUUUAUCCUUCUUAUACUAUCCUUCUUUUCUUUUCUCAUUCAUCUUUUUUUUUUGAAGAAGUGUCUUUUUCCACUUCUUUUUCAUAAUAUUUUUUUUUGAAAUUUUGGAUCAUAUUCUCUAGUACCCCAACCCCAACCCCAAACUUAAAACUUUUCUCACUUCC